CGAACAGACGAGGAGCUUGCUCCUCUGACGUUAGCGGCGGACGGGUGAGUAACACGUGGAUAACCUACCUAUAAGACUGGGAUAACUUCGGGAAACCGGAGCUAAUACCGGAUAAUAUAUUGAACCGCAUGGUUCAAUAGUGAAAGACGGUUUUGCUGUCACUUAUAGAUGGAUCCGCGCCGCAUUAGCUAGUUGGUAAGGUAACGGCUUACCAAGGCAACGAUGCGUAGCCGACCUGAGAGGGUGAUCGGCCACACUGGAACUGAGACACGGUCCAGACUCCUACGGGAGGCAGCAGUAGGGAAUCUUCCGCAAUGGGCGAAAGCCUGACGGAGCAACGCCGCGUGAGUGAUGAAGGUCUUCGGAUCGUAAAACUCUGUUAUUAGGGAAGAACAAAUGUGUAAGUAACUAUGCACGUCUUGACGGUACCUAAUCAGAAAGCCACGGCUAACUACGUGCCAGCAGCCGCGGUAAUACGUAGGUGGCAAGCGUUAUCCGGAAUUAUUGGGCGUAAAGCGCGCGUAGGCGGUUUUUUAAGUCUGAUGUGAAAGCCCACGGCUCAACCGUGGAGGGUCAUUGGAAACUGGAAAACUUGAGUGCAGAAGAGGAAAGUGGAAUUCCAUGUGUAGCGGUGAAAUGCGCAGAGAUAUGGAGGAACACCAGUGGCGAAGGCGACUUUCUGGUCUGUAACUG
This 693-nucleotide ribosomal RNA is filed under the name uncultured Staphylococcus sp. RNAcentral describes it as "bacterial SSU rRNA". It matches the Rfam family "Bacterial small subunit ribosomal RNA", at positions 63 to 742 of the family's 1533-position model. The record is from RNAcentral. Lineage: Bacteria; Bacillati; Bacillota; Bacilli; Caryophanales; Staphylococcaceae.